GACGGAGGGUGCUAGCGUUGUUCGGAAUUACUGGGCGUAAAGGGCGCGUAGGCGGCCGUUUGCGUCGGAUGUGAAAGCCCCGGGCUCAACCUGGGAACUGCAUUUGAAACUGGCGGGCUUGAGUGUGGCAGAGGGGGGUGGAAUUCCGCGUGUAGCAGUGAGAUGCGUAGAGAUGCGGAGGAACACCGAUGGCGAAGGCAGCCCCCUGGGCCAACACUGACGCUCAGGCACGAAAGCGUGGGGAGCAAACAGG
This 253-nucleotide ribosomal RNA is filed under the name uncultured bacterium. Its description in RNAcentral is "partial 16S ribosomal RNA". It matches the Rfam family "Bacterial small subunit ribosomal RNA", at positions 524 to 776 of the family's 1533-position model. The record is from RNAcentral.